RNAcentral lists this ribosomal RNA (2905 nucleotides) under Escherichia coli. RNAcentral describes it as "23S ribosomal RNA". It matches the Rfam family "Bacterial large subunit ribosomal RNA". The record is from RNAcentral. Lineage: Bacteria; Pseudomonadati; Pseudomonadota; Gammaproteobacteria; Enterobacterales; Enterobacteriaceae. RNAcentral also lists the same sequence under 1 other name.
GGUUAAGCGACUAAGCGUACACGGUGGAUGCCCUGGCAGUCAGAGGCGAUGAAGGACGUGCUAAUCUGCGAUAAGCGUCGGUAAGGUGAUAUGAACCGUUAUAACCGGCGAUUUCCGAAUGGGGAAACCCAGUGUGAUUCGUCACACUAUCAUUAACUGAAUCCAUAGGUUAAUGAGGCGAACCGGGGGAACUGAAACAUCUAAGUACCCCGAGGAAAAGAAAUCAACCGAGAUUCCCCCAGUAGCGGCGAGCGAACGGGGAGCAGCCCAGAGCCUGAAUCAGUGUGUGUGUUAGUGGAAGCGUCUGGAAAGGCGCGCGAUACAGGGUGACAGCCCCGUACACAAAAAUGCACAUGCUGUGAGCUCGAUGAGUAGGGCGGGACACGUGGUAUCCUGUCUGAAUAUGGGGGGACCAUCCUCCAAGGCUAAAUACUCCUGACUGACCGAUAGUGAACCAGUACCGUGAGGGAAAGGCGAAAAGAACCCCGGCGAGGGGAGUGAAAAAGAACCUGAAACCGUGUACGUACAAGCAGUGGGAGCCUCUUUAUGGGGUGACUGCGUACCUUUUGUAUAAUGGGUCAGCGACUUAUAUUCUGUAGCAAGGUUAACCGAAUAGGGGAGCCGAAGGGAAACCGAGUCUUAACUGGGCGUUAAGUUGCAGGGUAUAGACCCGAAACCCGGUGAUCUAGCCAUGGGCAGGUUGAAGGUUGGGUAACACUAACUGGAGGACCGAACCGACUAAUGUUGAAAAAUUAGCGGAUGACUUGUGGCUGGGGGUGAAAGGCCAAUCAAACCGGGAGAUAGCUGGUUCUCCCCGAAAGCUAUUUAGGUAGCGCCUCGUGAAUUCAUCUCCGGGGGUAGAGCACUGUUUCGGCAAGGGGGUCAUCCCGACUUACCAACCCGAUGCAAACUGCGAAUACCGGAGAAUGUUAUCACGGGAGACACACGGCGGGUGCUAACGUCCGUCGUGAAGAGGGAAACAACCCAGACCGCCAGCUAAGGUCCCAAAGUCAUGGUUAAGUGGGAAACGAUGUGGGAAGGCCCAGACAGCCAGGAUGUUGGCUUAGAAGCAGCCAUCAUUUAAAGAAAGCGUAAUAGCUCACUGGUCGAGUCGGCCUGCGCGGAAGAUGUAACGGGGCUAAACCAUGCACCGAAGCUGCGGCAGCGACGCUUAUGCGUUGUUGGGUAGGGGAGCGUUCUGUAAGCCUGCGAAGGUGUACUGUGAGGUAUGCUGGAGGUAUCAGAAGUGCGAAUGCUGACAUAAGUAACGAUAAAGCGGGUGAAAAGCCCGCUCGCCGGAAGACCAAGGGUUCCUGUCCAACGUUAAUCGGGGCAGGGUGAGUCGACCCCUAAGGCGAGGCCGAAAGGCGUAGUCGAUGGGAAACAGGUUAAUAUUCCUGUACUUGGUGUUACUGCGAAGGGGGGACGGAGAAGGCUAUGUUGGCCGGGCGACGGUUGUCCCGGUUUAAGCGUGUAGGCUGGUUUUCCAGGCAAAUCCGGAAAAUCAAGGCUGAGGCGUGAUGACGAGGCACUACGGUGCUGAAGCAACAAAUGCCCUGCUUCCAGGAAAAGCCUCUAAGCAUCAGGUAACAUCAAAUCGUACCCCAAACCGACACAGGUGGUCAGGUAGAGAAUACCAAGGCGCUUGAGAGAACUCGGGUGAAGGAACUAGGCAAAAUGGUGCCGUAACUUCGGGAGAAGGCACGCUGAUACGUAGGUGAAGCGACUUGCUCGUGGAGCUGAAAUCAGUCGAAGAUACCAGCUGGCUGCAACUGUUUAUUAAAAACACAGCACUGUGCAAACACGAAAGUGGACGUAUACGGUGUGACGCCUGCCCGGUGCCGGAAGGUUAAUUGAUGGGGUUAGCGGUAACGCGAAGCUCUUGAUCGAAGCCCCGGUAAACGGCGGCCGUAACUAUAACGGUCCUAAGGUAGCGAAAUUCCUUGUCGGGUAAGUUCCGACCUGCACGAAUGGCGUAAUGAUGGCCAGGCUGUCUCCACCCGAGACUCAGUGAAAUUGAACUCGCUGUGAAGAUGCAGUGUACCCGCGGCAAGACGGAAAGACCCCGUGAACCUUUACUAUAGCUUGACACUGAACAUUGAGCCUUGAUGUGUAGGAUAGGUGGGAGGCUUUGAAGUGUGGACGCCAGUCUGCAUGGAGCCGACCUUGAAAUACCACCCUUUAAUGUUUGAUGUUCUAACGUUGGCCCCUAAUCGGGGUUGCGGACAGUGUCUGGUGGGUAGUUUGACUGGGGCGGUCUCCUCCUAAAGAGUAACGGAGGAGCACGAAGGUUGGCUAAUCCUGGUCGGACAUCAGGAGGUUAGUGCAAUGGCAUAAGCCAGCUUGACUGCGAGCGUGACGGCGCGAGCAGGUGCGAAAGCAGGUCAUAGUGAUCCGGUGGUUCUGAAUGGAAGGGCCAUCGCUCAACGGAUAAAAGGUACUCCGGGGAUAACAGGCUGAUACCGCCCAAGAGUUCAUAUCGACGGCGGUGUUUGGCACCUCGAUGUCGGCUCAUCACAUCCUGGGGCUGAAGUAGGUCCCAAGGGUAUGGCUGUUCGCCAUUUAAAGUGGUACGCGAGCUGGGUUUAGAACGUCGUGAGACAGUUCGGUCCCUAUCUGCCGUGGGCGCUGGAGAACUGAGGGGGGCUGCUCCUAGUACGAGAGGACCGGAGUGGACGCAUCACUGGUGUUCGGGUUGUCAUGCCAAUGGCACUGCCCGGUAGCUAAAUGCGGAAGAGAUAAGUGCUGAAAGCAUCUAAGCACGAAACUUGCCCCGAGAUGAGUUCUCCCUGACUCCCUGAGAGUCCUGAAGGAACGUUGAAGACGACGACGUUGAUAGGCCGGGUGUGUAAGCGCAGCGAUGCGUUGAGCUAACCGGUACUAAUGAACCGUGAGGCUUAACCUU